AACGGCCAUACCACGCUGCAUAUACCGGUUCUCGUCCGAUCACCGCAGCCAAGCAGUGUUGGGCGCGGUUAGUACCUUGAUGAGUGACCGCUAACGGCCAUAACACGCUGCACGCGCCCGAUCUCGUCUGAUCUCGGAAGCUAAGCAGGGUCGGGCCUGGUUAGUACCUCGAUGUGCGACCGCUAACGGCCAUAGCACGCUGGAGGACCGCUGUACGUCGAUGAGCGACCGCU
RNAcentral lists this unclassified non-coding RNA (233 nucleotides) under Omophoita sexnotata. The record is from RNAcentral. Lineage: Eukaryota; Metazoa; Arthropoda; Insecta; Coleoptera; Chrysomelidae.